GGGGCCGUGGUCCAGCUUGGUCUACGAUCCGCGGCUUGGGCCCGCGGGGUCCCCGGUUCGAAUCCGGGCGGCCCCA
RNAcentral lists this transfer RNA (76 nucleotides) under Candidatus Bathyarchaeota archaeon. RNAcentral's name for it is "tRNA-Pro". RNAcentral also lists the same sequence under 1 other name. The record is from RNAcentral. Lineage: Archaea; Thermoproteati; Candidatus Bathyarchaeota.